RNAcentral lists this long non-coding RNA (321 nucleotides) under Malus domestica (apple). RNAcentral's name for it is "long non-coding RNA (MDOM_LNC015805)". The record is from RNAcentral. Lineage: Eukaryota; Viridiplantae; Streptophyta; Magnoliopsida; Rosales; Rosaceae.
AGGCACAGUCGAGGGCCCCAGUGUAGGGCGGGUCCCGCCCAGCCUCCACCUUCAUGUUCAUAACCCUCGUCUUAAUCACGUCGAUCGGGUUCGAGGCCACGGACGCCACAAACCCCGCCGCGAAACUCGCCGUCACGUGCGUUCCAAGGCCGUCCUUCAUCAAGUGCCUAUCGAGAAUCGCCUCCUUGAUCUGGUCGUACGACGCCAGCUGCGACGCCGUCACGAUCAUAGCGCGGUUCACUGUAAGGCUGGACCCGCGCCACAGGCUAAGAACCCCUUCGCUCCUCGCCAUCUUGGAAAUCGCGUCGAUCACGUUCUUGU